AGAGUUAUCACGAAACACCUUCCUUCCACGUCACGCCAGCUCUGGUCCCGCGCAAUCCAACCAUAGCGCCACCUACACAUCAUGUGACAUCAUUGGGCUGCUUUACAAAAGGACGAAUGCAGCUGCACAAUUUCAGUGGGCACGGUGGACCAACUGCGGGCAUGUGGCCUCACAAGCCUAUCCUCUACUUCAUGCAGGUUCUCGUUCUUGGUUUGACCGGAGCGACCAUAUCAGCGAAACAGUAUUCUACCGGAUGUUCAAGCUGCCAAAAUGUGCCUGUUCCUUCCACAUGUUUUCUUAACACGUCAGCAACGAUGGAGAGUUAUCACGAAACACCUUCCUUCCACGUCACGCCAGCUCUGGUCCCGCGCAAUCCAACCAUAGCGCCACCUACACAUCAUGGGACAUCAGUGGGCUGCUUUACAAAAGGACGAAUGCAGCUGCACAAUUUCAGUGGGCACGGCGGACAAACUGCGGGCAUGUGGCCUCACAAGCCUUUCCUCUGCUUCAUGCAGUUCUUCCGGUUCUGGUGCCUGCAGCUCAUGGAUCCUCUUCCCCUGCACGUCAGUUGCCCCGCCACUGCAGGCCGGCUUGUUCACCCCGUCAGUCUUCACCCUCUUGGCCGCCUUCUAAAUCAAGCGACCUGCACCUACAGCCGAUUUCGGAUUGAUCGCGCGCCCUGGCCACCACAGCCUCUGCAUCAGCGCAUGCCUUCAGCCAUUUUUGUCAUCGUGGAAUGGCCCGAAUUCUGGGACCGCGCAAUCGCCUGUUUGGCAUCACCUUAGAAAGCCGGAUCGGAGCAGCGCAGCCUUCAGGGGGUUAGAAGCACGACCAAGAGGGGCAGUGUUCGCCGUAUCGUUUUCGUGCAGGAAGAAACGGUGCCGGGAUAGAAGCGAUGCCAUCGACGCCUAUCAACUUCGUCCGGAUAACACUGGUGGCCAAAUGACACCAUGGUUAUUUCCUGGAGACCUGGCUCCACUAGCGACACCACCUGGUAGUCGCGGUGUGACGUCACCUGAGAACACCACUAUAAAAGAAGCACCUCAUCCCGGCCACGGCGGCCGCAUUUCGAUGGGGGCGAGAUGCGAAAACACCCGUGUGCUUAGAUUUAGGUGCACGUUAAAGAACCCCAGGUGGUCAAAAUUUCCGGAGUCCUCCACUACGGCGUGCCUCAUAAUCAGAAAGUGGUUUUGGCACGUAAAACCCC
Dermacentor albipictus is the source of this 1207-nucleotide long non-coding RNA. RefSeq lists it as uncharacterized. The record is from RefSeq and is a predicted model, not a curated record. Lineage: Eukaryota; Metazoa; Arthropoda; Arachnida; Ixodida; Ixodidae.